GCGGGGAUGGCCCAGUCAGGUACGGCGGCGGAUUGCUAAUCCGUUGGUCUUAUGACCUCGUGAGUUCAAAUCUCACUCCCCGCG
Molecule: transfer RNA, 84 nt
Filed under: Thermoplasmata archaeon
Lineage: Archaea; Methanobacteriati; Thermoplasmatota; Thermoplasmata
Description: tRNA-Ser
Rfam family: tRNA
About the family: Transfer RNA (tRNA) molecules are approximately 80 nucleotides in length.
Source: RNAcentral